Molecule: ribosomal RNA, 253 nt
Filed under: uncultured bacterium
Lineage: Bacteria
Description: partial 16S ribosomal RNA
Rfam family: Bacterial small subunit ribosomal RNA
Source: RNAcentral
UACAGAGGUCUCAAGCGUUGUUCGGAUUCAUUGGGCGUAAAGGGUGCGUAGGCGGCGCGGUAAGUCGGAUGUGAAAUCUCGGAGCUUAACUUCGAAACUGCAUUCGAUACUGCCAUGCUUGAGGACUGGAGAGGAGACUGGAAUUUACGGUGUAGCGGUGAAAUGCGUAGAUAUCGUAAGGAAGACCAGUGGCGAAGGCGGGUCUCUGGACAGUUCCUGACGCUGAGGCACGAAGGUCAGGGGAGCAAACGGG